GGCAGAAUUGUCUGCAUCAAACAAGGAUGUGCAACAGCGUUCACAUCGUAAGACCUGAGCUGAGUUGUUGAGGCAUGUUGGUCUGGGACUUAAACUGCUGCGUUACCUGGUAGGAAACCGGAAAAGCUACCGGUCCCACGAUUGCUUAAAUUGGUGAACAUUGGAGCUGCCUCUUGAAUGGGCCUUUGGGACAUAUUUGGGAAUGCAAUGAACAACAGACCUGGAGAACCAGCAUCACAGAAACUGAGGUUAACAAGAUCUUGGAGCUUCACGACCAAGGGCUUGGUACCUCAUGGUCGCAUGGUCCAACUGAAAAGCACUGGGACAUCUUGCUCUCUGGACACCACCACUGCACAAAGCCCCUGCCAGGUUCCCAGGACCAUCCGUACAGCUGCGGGGCUGGCUCUUCCUCCACCGUAAUUCUGGGUUGCACCUGACCUGUAGGAGAAACCUUUCAGCUAAAAACUUGGAUGUGGCCCUAGGCGUCAAGAAGCAAGCAUGCUGCUCCAGAACUACGAUACGGAUAAAGCAUGGACACGAGGGAGAGCCACGUGGCUGUCCAGUAGAGCUUCCAACAGUCGUGUCAAGUGAUAAUCACUGCAGCCUGACACAAUGAGGUAGCUGUGGCUUGGAACAGGGGAGGGAACAUGGAGUCUUGCCUUUUAGGGUUUGUUGCUUCCCUUUUGCUGUACAAGGUGUCGCAGAGAGCUCUGAAGCUGGAUUCGCUGCUGCUGAACUCCUUAUGAAGUCAAUGGAGUUGCUAUUCCACCUCUCCGCUUGCUUAAAGUGUGUGUUGUAGAUCUCCCUUCACCCAUUCAUUCAUUUCUUCCCUUUUAAUGAGUAGGUUAAAUUUCUUGUGUGGUACAGCAAGCAUUUGAGAUGUGAAGGUUCCUUUUCCUCAUCUCCCUCUUAUUGAAGGUGGCUUUGCUCCCAGUAACUCCUGUCAUGACAUAAUUGGACCUUAUUCUCACAUAAAUACCAGAGUUAGAGUUACUGUUGUUGGGUUUUUCCAUUAUUUUGGGUGGCUGAUAUUUUUCACAUUCCUAUUCUCUUCUUAACGCAAAGCUGACUACAUUUACUAGGUUUGUUUGCCUUCCUCAGAAGGACUUGAAUAUUAGUCCUCAACUUGUCUGUGUAUCUCUACUUUUCUUACUCUCCCCUUUCAUUGAUUUAUGACACAUGUGGAGGCCAAGAGGCAGUACAGGACAUGAAUCAUAUAAAAAGAAUGCAGACAUUUCAUUUGCGUAAGUUAAUUGUUUUAUUUUUACCUGUCCCUUGUGUUUCUGCAAUCCUAUGGGUGGUGUCUUAGAAAAAUACAGAUAGUAGACUGGACCACUGCCAAGUGCUGCAAGUAUCACAUGCUUUGCAAAAGGUUGCAACAUCUUAGUGGGAAUGAUUAUCUUCACAGUAGAGAUGGUAA
This 1420-nucleotide long non-coding RNA is filed under the name Struthio camelus australis. RNAcentral describes it as "lncRNA (ENSSCUG00000017049.1)". The record is from RNAcentral. Lineage: Eukaryota; Metazoa; Chordata; Aves; Struthioniformes; Struthionidae.